GACGAACGCUGGCGGCGUGCUUAACACAUGCAAGUCGAACGCUGAAGCUCAGCUUUUGUUGGGUGGAUGAGUGGCGAACGGGUGAGUAACACGUGAGUAACCUGCCCCCUUCUUUGGGAUAACGCCCGGAAACGGGUGCUAAUACUGGAUAUUCACUGGUCUUCGCAUGGGGGUUGGUGGAAAGGGUUUUUCUGGUGGGGGAUGGGCUCGCGGCCUAUCAGCUUGUUGGUGGGGUGAUGGCCUACCAAGGCUUUGACGGGUAGCCGGCCUGAGAGGGUGACCGGCCACAUUGGGACUGAGAUACGGCCCAGACUCCUACGGGAGGCAGCAGUGGGGAAUAUUGCACAAUGGGCGCAAGCCUGAUGCAGCGACGCCGCGUGAGGGAUGGAGGCCUUCGGGUUGUGAACCUCUUUCGCUCAUGGUCAAGCCGCAACAAUGGUUGUGGUGAGGGUAGUGGGUAAAGAAGCGCCGGCUAACUACGUG
RNAcentral lists this ribosomal RNA (483 nucleotides) under uncultured bacterium. RNAcentral's name for it is "partial 16S ribosomal RNA". It matches the Rfam family "Bacterial small subunit ribosomal RNA", at positions 28 to 507 of the family's 1533-position model. The record is from RNAcentral.